AUGCGUCAUGAAACUACUGAGGGGUUCGAGUGGGCUUUCAAAACUUUCGUCGACACGAUGAAUGGAAAGCAUCCAGUCACAAUAUUGACUGAUCAGUGCAAGGUGAUGGAAGGAGCAAUAGAAAACAUAUUGCCAAAUACGAAGCAUAGGUGGUGUAAGUGGCAUGUAUUGAGGUGCGCAAAGGAGAAGCUUGGCCCUGUAUACAGCAAGAAGAGUGGAUUCAAACAUGAGUUCCACAAAAUUAUAAAUGAUAUUAUUUAUGUCACAGAAUUUGAGGGAAAGUGGGCUGAACUUAUAGAUAAGUACAAUCUGAAGGAUAAUCCUUAUCUUGAGAAUCUAUAUAGCAAGCGGACCAUGUGGGCUAAACCAUACUUCUCCAGUGUGUUCUGUGCUGGGAUGACAAGUACUCAACGCAGCGAGAGCGCAAACCACCUGCUGAAACAGUACAUACCUCGUUCAUCACCUAUGCACCUAUUUGUCAAGCAGUACAACAAGCUACUCCAAUCACGCACAUCGGAUGAGGGCAGGCAGCAACACAUGACAAAGAUGAAACGUCGAAGACUCAACGGAGGGUUCCCCUUGGAAGCUGAUGCAGCCAAGAUAUAUACUAAGGGUGUGUUCAUUAAAUUUGAAGAGGAGCUUUAUCAAGCUGCAUCGUUUAUUAUAUCUAAUUGCAUAAGCAAUAUGGAAUUUGAGGUCACACGUGCCCGACCGGAUUACUUGCCUGAAUACGAGAUGAGGAGGUACAAGGUUGCUAUCAGAGAUGGUGGUGAUUUCAUAGACUGA
This 786-nucleotide ribosomal RNA is filed under the name Triticum aestivum (bread wheat). RNAcentral describes it as "partial small subunit ribosomal RNA". The record is from RNAcentral. Lineage: Eukaryota; Viridiplantae; Streptophyta; Magnoliopsida; Poales; Poaceae.